CCUACGGGUGGCAGCAGUGGGGAAUAUUGCACAAUGGGGGAAACCCUGAUGCAGCGACGCCGCGUGAGUGAAGAAGUAUUUCGGUACGUAAAGCUCUAUCAGCAGGGAAGAAAAUGACGGUACCUGACUAAGAAGCCCCGGCUAACUACGUGCCAGCAGCCGCGGUAAUACGUAGGGGGCAAGCGUUAUCCGGAUUUACUGGGGGUAAAGGGAGCGUAGACGGCAGCGCAAGUCUGGAGUGAAAUCCCAUGGCUUAACCAUGGAACUGCUGUGGAAACUGUGCAGCUAGAGUGCAGGAGAGGUAAGCGGAAUGCGUAGUGUAGCGGUGAAAUGCGUAGAUAUUAGGAGGAACACCAGUGGCGAAGGCGGCUUACUGGACUGUAACUGACGUUGAGGCUCGAAAGCGUGGGGAGCAAACAGGAUUAGAUACCCUUGUAGUC
RNAcentral lists this ribosomal RNA (440 nucleotides) under uncultured bacterium. Its description in RNAcentral is "partial 16S ribosomal RNA". It matches the Rfam family "Bacterial small subunit ribosomal RNA", at positions 338 to 795 of the family's 1533-position model. The record is from RNAcentral.